This 253-nucleotide ribosomal RNA is filed under the name uncultured bacterium. Its description in RNAcentral is "partial 16S ribosomal RNA". It matches the Rfam family "Bacterial small subunit ribosomal RNA", at positions 524 to 776 of the family's 1533-position model. The record is from RNAcentral.
UACGUAGGGUGCGAGCGUUAAUCGGAAUUACUGGGCGUAAAGGGUGCGCAGGCGGUUCUGCAAGUCAGGCGUGAAAUCCCCGGGCUUAACCUGGGAAUGGCGCUUGAAACUACGGGACUGGAGUAUGGCAGAGGGAGGUGGAAUUUCACGUGUAGCGGUGAAAUGCGUAGAGAUGUGGAGGAACACCGAUGGCGAAGGCAGCCUCCUGGGCCAAUACUGACGCUCAUGCACGAAAGCGUGGGGAGCAAACAGG